Molecule: long non-coding RNA, 214 nt
Filed under: Lathyrus oleraceus (garden pea)
Lineage: Eukaryota; Viridiplantae; Streptophyta; Magnoliopsida; Fabales; Fabaceae
Description: Pisum sativum (pea) long non-coding RNA (PSAT_LNC010871)
Source: RNAcentral
UGGAACCUCUUUGAAGUGCAGCAGCUGGAUUUCGAUGAAUUCAGGCCUUGUAAUGCUCAACAGUUCUUCUAUGCAGCUUGUAGAGUUGAUUGGAAGAGAGAUCGAAGCUCAAUUGCUCUUGAAUCCAACGGAAUUUGACAUUGCCAUGGAUGAGUUCAAGCUUCAAUAUGCUUCAAUCUUGUACUGUUUUCUUUAACUCCACGUGUAAACCUGC